RNAcentral lists this ribosomal RNA (505 nucleotides) under Kapaibacterium sp. (SeqCode). Its description in RNAcentral is "bacterial SSU rRNA". It matches the Rfam family "Bacterial small subunit ribosomal RNA", at positions 555 to 1052 of the family's 1533-position model. The record is from RNAcentral. Lineage: Bacteria; Pseudomonadati; Bacteroidota; Eximiradiia; Eximiradiales; Kapaibacteriaceae (SeqCode).
UGGGCGUAAAGGGUACGUAGGCGGCCUUUCAAGUCUUAAUCAAAGAAGCUAAGCCUAACUUAGAAAUUGAUUAUGAUACUAAUAGGCUCGAGGUCAAUAUAGGUUAGUUAUAUUCUUGAAGUAAAAGUAAAAUCUUUAGAUAUCGAGAGGAUAACCGAGUGGUUAAUGCGACUUUCUGGAUUGAUGCUGACGCUGAGGUACGAAGGCAUGGGUAUCAAACGGGAUUAGAGACCCCGGUAGUCCAUGCAGUAAAUCAAGAAUGCUAUGAGAUUGUAUCCAAUUUAAAAGGGUGCUGAUCUAUGAGCUAACGCGAAAGCAUUCCGCCUGGGUACUACAGUCGCAAGGUUGAAACUCAAAGGAAUUGACGGAAGUUUGAACAAGCGGUGGAGCAUCUGGUUCAAUGCGAUAUAACGCGCAAAACCUUACCAGUCUUUGAAUAUUUUUUGUAUCUUUUAUAGAGAAAGGUGUAUAAAAUUUCUAUGAUUUUCAAAUUUUAUAUGGAAAU